UGCAGUCGCACGAGAAAGGGGGCAACCCUGAGUACAGUGGCGUACGGGUGAGUAACACGUGGAUGAUCUACCUCUUAGUGGGGAAUAACCCUGGGAAACCGGGGCUAAUACCGCAUAAGCUCUAGCGAGGAAAGCAGCAAUGCGCUGAGAGAGGAGUCCGCGGCCGAUUAGCUAGUUGGGAGGGUAAAAGCCUACCAAGGCAGAGAUCGGUAGCCGGCCUGAGAGGGCACACGGCCACACUGGCACUGAAACACGGGCCAGACUCCUACGGGAGGCAGCAGUGGGGAAUCUUGCACAAUGGGGGAAACCCUGAUGCAGCGACGCCGCGUGAGCGAUGAAGCCCUUCGGGGUGUAAAGCUCUUUCGGCAGGGAAGAUGAUGACGGUACCUGCAGAAGCAGCUGCGGCUAACUACGUGCCAGCAGCCGCGGUAAUACGUAGGCAGCGAGCGUUGUUCGGAGUUACUGGGCGUAAAGGGUGUGUAGGCGGUUGUUUAAGUUUGGUG
RNAcentral lists this ribosomal RNA (503 nucleotides) under uncultured bacterium. Its description in RNAcentral is "bacterial SSU rRNA". It matches the Rfam family "Bacterial small subunit ribosomal RNA", at positions 56 to 594 of the family's 1533-position model. The record is from RNAcentral.